Molecule: ribosomal RNA, 513 nt
Filed under: uncultured bacterium
Lineage: Bacteria
Description: partial 16S ribosomal RNA
Rfam family: Bacterial small subunit ribosomal RNA
Source: RNAcentral
GACGAACGCUGGCGGCGUGCUUAACACAUGCAAGUCGAACGAAAAGAGGGAAAGAGCUUGCUCUUUCCGGAAUUGAGUGGCAAACGGGUGAGUAACACGUAAACAACCUGCCUUCAGGAUGGGGACAACAGACGGAAACGACUGCUAAUACCGAAUAAGUUCCAAGAGCCGCAUGGCCCAUGGAAGAAAAGGUGGCCUCUACCUGUAAGCUAUCGCCUGAAGAGGGGUUUGCGUCUGAUUAGCUGGUUGGAGGGGUAACGGCCCACCAAGGCGACGAUCAGUAGCCGGUCUGAGAGGAUGAACGGCCACACUGGAACUGAGACAGGGUCCAGACUCCUACGGGAGGCAGCAGUGGGGAAUCUUCCGCAAUGGGCGAAAGCCUGACGGAGCAACGCCGCGUGAGUGAUGACGGCCUUCGGGUUGUAAAACUCUGUGAUCCGGGACGAAAAGGCAGAGUGCGAAGAACAAACUGCAUUGACGGUACCGGAAAAGCAAGCCACGGCUAACUACGUA